UUUUUUUUUUGCAGUAUGGGGGAUUUCAUGUAUGAUACGCAAGUCUCUGCCACUAAGCUACAUCCACAUUGUCUCAUCCCACUGAUGAACACACACUGCAAGGAGGGAAGAAAGAUAGGAUGAGUCAACAUGCACCGAUGGGUGCUGGGUGGUAAUGUUGGGUGGCUGGUCAGCCUUGAAUGGCUAAGCAAGGAAAGGAGACUGAAAACCGUGAGAGCCUUAUUUGACAGGCGAGCACCUAGAAGAUGGGGGCUGCUGUGUCAAAACCUUCCUCAGCCAUAAUUAAUCCCCUGAGCAUAACUCAACAUCAGAUCAUAGCCUGCCAGAUGGCCUAGGCCCUCCCUUAUCACCUAAACUAUGUCACAACCCCCAAUCACUCUGUGAAUGAAAACAUCAGGACCCUUACAAAGAAAACUUGCUGAGAACUAUUCAAAGGGUAGUGAAACAAUUAAAAGGACAGGAAAGUAAGACAAAAACAGAGGGAUUCAAAUUCCUUAAAACCGCUAACCCUCUGAGCACCACACCAUUCUCUCCUUGAGGUGUCCAUGCAGUUCCCAUGCUGUAACUUACCUUACUUCUCACUGUCUCUGGGCCCACUGUACCUGUGCUGACCCACAUGCUUUUUUUUCCUCCUUUAUUUUUGGGGAGUGCCAGGGGUUGGACUUGGGGGCACUUGACUACUGAGCCACAUUCCCAGCCCUAUUUUGUAUUUUAUUUAGAGACAGGGUGUGAGGGGAGUUGCUUAGCGCCUCACUUUUGCUGAGGCUGGCUUUGAACUCCCGAUCCUCCUGCUUCAGCCUCCUGAGCUGCUAGGAUUACAGGUGUGUGCCACCAUGCC
This 838-nucleotide long non-coding RNA is filed under the name Marmota monax (woodchuck). The record is from RNAcentral. Lineage: Eukaryota; Metazoa; Chordata; Mammalia; Rodentia; Sciuridae.